GGCGAGGGCGUCGGGGCGCUUCUGGGGCGGGGACCGCUGUGGCCUAAGCCGUUCUGGUGGCAGAGGGACAGGCUGGCUGCUGGGGGAGGCCUGGGGCUCCCAGACUUUACCCCAGGAAGCCGCCCUGGACCCAAAGCUGCCCCAGCCCCAGGAGACCCACAUCAACGCCCCCAGACCUAGAAUGCUGGGCCCCGAGGGCAGAAAGGGCACCCCCGGGACAAACCCUCUCUGGGCACACAGGGAAACUGAGGCCCCGUCCCUGGCCAAGGUCACAGAGCAGCAGGACCAGGAUAAGAGGGGCGGCUGAGCACUGGGCCCUGGGCAGCCUGGCACCUGGGCUGGGUGAGGGGGCCUCUGCCACCAGGCACCGACUUGGGUCUCCAGCACAGUGACCUUGCCCACUGUCCCCUGUCUUAUCUUCCGCAGCCUGUGCCCUGCGGGGCACACAUGCUUUCCUCACCUGCUGUCCCCCUUGCUCUUGGGGACAACUAGGGUGGCUACAGGAUCUCUCCCUGAAGUCUGCGGUUGAGACUGGACCCCAGGGCCCUCUCUCAGAUUCAGUUUCCUCUGUGGAAUGAGAACUGGAACUACCAGCCGGGCCUGACAGGGACAUCCUGCAGAUUCCGGGCCUCUCCAGAACCUUGCCCAGACCAUCUCAGAAUGCCUCCUGGCCCCGACUCAGCACAGUCACACUGGAACGCCCAGGUGGGGCCUGGUGCUGGCCAAGACGGAAAGGCAAAUAUUGGGAGAGGAAAAAAGAACCCCUGGCCCUGUUGACAACACUUCCUACUUGUGCCUGACGUGUGGCUGACACUUUCUGUCCUUAGAAAUGCUUAUAAACUUCUGAAACGAU
Molecule: long non-coding RNA, 853 nt
Organism: Ictidomys tridecemlineatus (thirteen-lined ground squirrel)
Lineage: Eukaryota; Metazoa; Chordata; Mammalia; Rodentia; Sciuridae
Source: RefSeq, a predicted model, not a curated record